AAUGGAGGAAACUCUGACGCAGCCAUGCCGCGUGCAGGAAGACGGCCCUACGGGUUGUAAACUGCUUUUAUCCGGGAAGAAACCCCAGGACGUGUCCUGGGUUGACGGUACCGGAGGAAUAAGCACCGGCUAACUCCGUGCCAGCAGCCGCGGUAAUACGGAGGGUGCAAGCGUUAUCCGGAUUCAUUGGGUUUAAAGGGUGCGUAGGCGGGGUGGUAAGUCAGUGGUGAAAUCCUGCAGCUUAACUGUAGAAUUGCCAUUGAUACUGCCAUUCUUGAGUGCGCUUGAAGUGGGCGGAAUGUGCCGUGUAGCGGUGAAAUGCUUAGAUAUGGCACAGAACACCAAUUGCGAAGGCAGCUCACUAAGGCGAUACUGACGCUGAGGCACGAAAGCGUGGGGAUCGAA
RNAcentral lists this ribosomal RNA (405 nucleotides) under uncultured bacterium. RNAcentral's name for it is "bacterial SSU rRNA". It matches the Rfam family "Bacterial small subunit ribosomal RNA", at positions 370 to 772 of the family's 1533-position model. The record is from RNAcentral.